This is a non-coding RNA of Vicugna pacos (alpaca), 214 nucleotides long. Lineage: Eukaryota; Metazoa; Chordata; Mammalia; Artiodactyla; Camelidae. The record is from RefSeq and is a predicted model, not a curated record.
GGUGGUUUUUCUGAAUUUGAGUCCAGUAAUUCUGAUGUUACAUUUCCUGUAGCCUGCUGUACAGCCCAGAGUUCACGUAAGGAUGUCCUGGUUUUCCUGAUGAGGAUGGAUUUGUACUGUCUUUUAAAGAAGCCAGCCUGAAAAUAGCAUUGCAUAGUCACUAGUGUAUAGUUAGGAACAUAUUAUACAUCGAAUUGUAGUCAGCAAAAAUAUA